Molecule: ribosomal RNA, 783 nt
Filed under: uncultured Neocallimastigales
Lineage: Eukaryota; Fungi; Neocallimastigomycota; Neocallimastigomycetes; Neocallimastigales
Description: partial large subunit ribosomal RNA
Rfam family: Eukaryotic large subunit ribosomal RNA
Source: RNAcentral
CAUCACUACGCUAGAUGCAUAUCAAUAAGCGGAGGAAAAGAAACUAACAAGGAUUCCCCUUAGUAACGGCGAGUGAAGCGGGAAGAGCUCAAAUUUGAAAUCUUCAAGGGUUCUACCUUGACGAAUUGUAGUUUAUAAGAAGUGUUUUCUGUUAGAUGAGGUGGCUAAAAGUUCUUUGGAAUAGGACAUCAUAGAGGGUGAGAAUCCCGUAUUUGACCGUUACUUCUCCUAGCUGUUGUGAUACACUUUCAACGAGUCGGAUUGUUUGGGAAUGCAGUCCAAAAUGGGUGGUAAAUUUCAUCUAAAGCUAAAUAUUGGCGAGAGACCGAUAGCGAACAAGUACCGUGAGGGAAAGAUGAAAAGAACUUUGAAAAGAGAGUUAAACAGUACGUGAAAUUGUCAAAAGGGAAGCGUUUGACACCAGUGUUGUUUUUCCGAAAAUCAAUUACGAAUGUUUUAUUUUUGAGGAGUUAUGACUUCAUCGGCUUGCUCCUUUCUUUAUGAAACUUUCUUAAUGCACUUUUCGGUUAACAAGUCAACAUCAAUUUCUUUUGUUGUAAAAGGGUAUGAGGAAGGUGGCUUUCUUUUCGGAGAAAGUGUUUAUAGCCUUGUGCCUCUGCAAUCGGAGAGAUUGAGGUCUGCAGCGUAGAUCCUUCGGGGUUAGAUACGUUUGUGCUAAGUUAUAGCUUUUCAUAGACAACUUGUUGGCUAUGUUUAGUCUUGUAGCUUACUCGCUGACGCUAUUUUACCUACGCUUAGGAUGUUGACGAGACUGUCGAUCUC